This 141-nucleotide ribosomal RNA is filed under the name uncultured bacterium. Its description in RNAcentral is "partial 16S rRNA". It matches the Rfam family "Bacterial small subunit ribosomal RNA", at positions 355 to 511 of the family's 1533-position model. The record is from RNAcentral.
UGGGGAAUUUUCCGCGAUGGGCGAAAGCCUGACGGAGCAAUGCCGCGUGGAGGUGGAAGGCCUACGGGUCGUCAACUUCUUUUCUCGGAGAAGAAACAAUGACGGUAUCUGAGGAAUAAGCAUCGGCUAACUCUGUUCCAG